ACUCCUACGGGAGGCAGCAGUGGGGAAUCUUGCGCAAUGGGCGAAAGCCUGACGCAGCCAUGCCGCGUGAAUGAUGAAGGUCUUAGGAUUGUAAAAUUCUUUCACCGGGGACGAUAAUGACGGUACCCGGAGAAGAAGCCCCGGCUAACUUCGUGCCAGCAGCCGCGGUAAUACGAAGGGGGCGUAGCGUUGCUCGGAAUUACUGGGGCGUAAAGGGAGCGUAGGCGGACAUUUAAGUCAGGGGUGAAAUCCCGGGGGCUCAACCUCGGAAUUGCCUUUUGAUACUGGAUGUCUUGAGUGUGAGAGAGGUAUGUGGAACUCCGAGUGUAGAGGUGAAAUUCGUAGAUAUUCGGAAGAACACCAGUGGCGAAGGCGACAUACUGGCUCAUUACUGACGCUGAGGCUCGAAAGCGUGGGGAGCAAACAGGAUUAGAUACCCUGGUAGGCUACCG
This 452-nucleotide ribosomal RNA is filed under the name uncultured bacterium. RNAcentral's name for it is "bacterial SSU rRNA". It matches the Rfam family "Bacterial small subunit ribosomal RNA", at positions 335 to 799 of the family's 1533-position model. The record is from RNAcentral.